RNAcentral lists this ribosomal RNA (301 nucleotides) under uncultured bacterium. RNAcentral's name for it is "partial 16S ribosomal RNA". It matches the Rfam family "Bacterial small subunit ribosomal RNA", at positions 509 to 809 of the family's 1533-position model. The record is from RNAcentral.
CAGCAGCCGCGGUAAUACGUAGGGUGCAAGCGUUAAUCGGAAUUACUGGGCGUAAAGCGUGCGCAGGCGGUUAUAUAAGACAGAUGUGAAAUCCCCGGGCUCAACCUGGGAACUGCAUUUGUGACUGUAUAGCUAGAGUACGGCAGAGGGGGAUGGAAUUCCGCGUGUAGCAGUGAAAUGCGUAGAUAUGCGGAGGAACACCGAUGGCGAAGGCAAUCCCCUGGGCCUGUACUGACGCUCAUGCACGAAAGCGUGGGGAGCAAACAGGAUUAGAUACCCCCGUAGUCCCUGUCUCUUAUAA